UAAGUCACGUCAUCAUACGUCACUGAAUAGCGUCAUCGGUCACGUCACUGCGUACGGGGACGAGCCGGAGCGCCUGUAAGAGCCAGCCUUAACCUUCCUCAGUUAGUCGCCUACCAGAGGGACGAUCUGCCGGGUGUGAGAAAGUUCUACAAGGAGAGAGAAUGAGCCAAGUGAGUCUUUAACAGCAUUAAGAUGCGAUGAAGGCCAGGCCUGGAAUCCCGUGACUCAGUUUCCUCGUUCUGUAAGUGUGAAAAAUGCCACCUAACCUGCCUGCACUGGAAAGGUGUGAAUUUAAGACGAGAUAAUAUGUGCGGUGCUGCCGGAGAACCCGGUCUUAUUCGAACUUUUAAUUUCAAGACCCUGGCGGAAGCCCGUCCAUAACUGCUACUCAUUCCACCUCCCAGGACUACCAGAUGUGUAGAACCCAUUAGACUUCUUCUUUCGCAUAAGAGACGGUAGAGCAAGGACAGCAGGAACUGCGGACUUCGAAGUCACAGGCUAGAGAGUCCUCUCCCUUGAAAGUUAGGUUCUUAUCUGGAUUUGAAGAUGGAAGAUAAUUUCAAGCAGAGACGUCUUAAAUAGGAAGUGAAAAUGAACAGAAACAGCUUAGGCUGGACCAGAGACUCCCAUUUAGAGGCCAUUGUAGCAUCCUAGAGAAGUGAUCAGAACCGCUAAGGCACUGGGAGUGGGACUGUAAACAUGGAGGCCAGCGCCAGGAUUCUAAUGCGGGUGCUGAGAUAGGUGGGCAGAACAUUUGGCAAAAUGGAAAGAAAGAUGCCUUUGUGUCUGCAGGUGCGUGAGUUACUGAGCGGUAAUGAGGUUCCUGACCGAUGACUGUGGUAGACCAACGAGUUGGAAUGUGAAUGAAUACGCUGGUUGGGGAAACACACUCCUCUCAAAUCUUAUGUGCAAUGAUAUCCAUUAAUUGAAUACCACCCAGUUAGCCUUGAAAAUGGAUCAAAAGAGGGCAGGAAGCUAGUGGAUCACAAUAGCCAUAAGAAACUAGCACCGUCAACAAUAAAGACGACUGUUUCCUGGUGCAUUCUCCAUUCUCUAGGGAAAAAAAUCACAGUUUCUCAGGUUGCUUCACAGACUCAGCACUGUGACUAUGGACCCCCACAUUUAGAGGAAAAUGUUCAAGCCAAAUUGCACAGGUCUGUGACAGCUGAGAGAAGUUGAAGUUUGGAGGAGGUUAAGCCCUGCGCAUGGAUGAGAUCAAUCAAGGCAAAAAUACAACGUAAACUUUUAUGUUAGACUGAGUUGCUUAUAGCAGCAUUCUUAAAAACCUACUAAGGCCAUUUCACCAAACACUCGGGGUUAGUGUAGGCUGUGCUACUUCUACCGAGACAGCUAUGGCUAUCACUCAAUUACAAAAGCCAUUCAGUCUGGAGGAGAGGUAAACACGUGGGUAGUUAGCUAGUUGCCAUAAUGGGUGUUUGUUUGUUUGGGGUUUUUUGUUAAGGUGUGUGCAUACUAUAGCAGACUAAUGAAAGCUGAAACAGUUAAUAGACCAAAGUUUAGACCAUGACAGACAGUCCCUUUCUAGGAAGCCUUCUAUCAGAGUCCUAAAUGGAUUAAAUGCUCUUUCUCCUCACUGCUAAUAUAAUACCCACCACUGUAGUUACUGUAACAAUGACGCUCCCUACAUGCCAGGCAUCCCGUUUCUGCACCUGUGCUCCUGUUUUAGUGUUACAGGCAGCACUAGCUCAUUCAAGUCUUGUCGGAGCCCGAUGAGGUUACUGUGAGCUAGACACAGAAGGGAUGCAGAGAGGAAAGUGGGUUUCAGGUUUCGGGGAGCUCAGUGCGGCAGCCUCCGCUUUAAACACUCAUCUUCCAUUCUGAGAACUCAGGAGCCGCUGUGAUGGACAGUUCAUGUAUGGAACGUUUGGGUUAUUGCAGAAAGUUCUGUUGGAAUCAUAGGAAAAUGGGCAGAUGCCCACGGGAGCUCUGGUACAGAACACGCAUGUGCCACCCUCAGGACAAUCAGUGUUGGCCAAAGGAGAAGAUACUUGAGAUUCUCGGUUGUGUCCUAGUUUCAUCCAGUAAAAGUAAAUACCUGCUGAAAAAACACAAGUUUCCAAAACCUUUGGCAGAGAAAAACGCUAAGGCAGAUGUUCCCAAAGAGGAAAAUGGGGCAAAGGAACAAAGUCUGCUCUGCAUAAAACAGAAAAAUACAGACUGUCAAAAAAAGUAUGGAAAAACAUUUCACUUGUCCCCAGGGAUAUUGGGUCAAAGAGACUGUGGACUUCUACAGCUUCCUUGGAAAGGAAUCUGUCAAUAUCGACUCCAAUUGAAACGUACCUGCUGGUAGAUCUUCCAGGAAACCCAUUCUCUCUGAAAACUGCACCCCACACACACCACUGAGGAUUUUUGCUAUGAUUCUAGCUACAUUUUAAGUUUUUGUUUUAUUUUGUAUUUUGAGACAGGGUUUCUCUGUGUAGCCCUGGCUGUCCUGGAACUCACUCUGUAGACCAGAUUAGCCUUGAACUCAGAGAUCUGCCUGCCUCUGUCUCUUGAGUGCUGGGAUUAAAGCAUGCACUACUAGCACCUGGCAACUAGUUGCAUUUAAAAAAAUAAUAAAGUGGAAGCAUCUAGAGUGUUCUUCAGUAGGAAAGUAAGCUGGGUGAGUUAUGAAAUACAUUAUGGAUUAUUUUUCAGUUAAUAAAAACACAUGUACAUUAA
Molecule: long non-coding RNA, 2682 nt
Organism: Microtus oregoni (creeping vole)
Lineage: Eukaryota; Metazoa; Chordata; Mammalia; Rodentia; Cricetidae
Exons: 3
Source: RefSeq, a predicted model, not a curated record